UCCUACGGGAGGCAGCAGUGGGGAAUUUUGGACAAUGGGCGAAAGCCUGAUCCAGCCAUGCCGCGUGAGUGAAGAAGGCCUUCGGGUUGUAAAGCUCUUUCGGACGGAAAGAAAUCGCGCGGGCUAAUAUCCCGCGUGGAUGACGGUACCGUAAGAAGAAGCACCGGCUAACUACGUGCCAGCAGCCGCGGUAAUACGUAGGGUGCGAGCGUUAAUCGGAAUUACUGGGCGUAAAGCGUGCGCAGGCGGUUUUGUAAGACAGGUGUGAAAUCCCCGGGCUUAACCUGGGAACUGCGCUUGUGACUGCAAGGCUAGAGUACGGCAGAGGGGGGUGGAAUUCCACGUGUAGCAGUGAAAUGCGUAGAGAUGUGGAGGAACACCGAUGGCGAAGGCAGCCCCCUGGGCCUGUACUGACGCUCAUGCACGAAAGCGUGGGGAGCAAACAGGAUUAGAUACCCUGGUAGUCCACGCCCUAAACGAUGUCAACUAGUUGUUCGUAGAGGUAACUCUGUGAGUAACGCAGCUAACGCGUGAAGUUGACCGCCUGGGGAGUACGGCCGCAAGGUUAAAACUCAAAGGAAUUGACGG
This 588-nucleotide ribosomal RNA is filed under the name uncultured Azoarcus sp. RNAcentral's name for it is "bacterial SSU rRNA". It matches the Rfam family "Bacterial small subunit ribosomal RNA", at positions 337 to 916 of the family's 1533-position model. Lineage: Bacteria; Pseudomonadati; Pseudomonadota; Betaproteobacteria; Rhodocyclales; Zoogloeaceae. The record is from RNAcentral.